This 309-nucleotide unclassified non-coding RNA is filed under the name uncultured Dothideomycetes. RNAcentral's name for it is "sequence contains ITS1". The stretch from base 1 to 105 matches the Rfam family "5.8S ribosomal RNA", at positions 50 to 154 of the family's 154-position model. The record is from RNAcentral. Lineage: Eukaryota; Fungi; Ascomycota; Dothideomycetes.
GAAAUGCGAUAAGUAGUGUGAAUUGCAGAAUUCAGUGAAUCAUCGAAUCUUUGAACGCACAUUGCGCCCCUUGGUAUCCCAGGGGGCAUGCCUGUUCGAGCGUCAUUUCUACCAUUCAAGCUUUGCUUGGUUUUGAAUAUAUUGUAGUACUUUAAGUAGUUAUACAUAUUCUAAAUAUAGCCGGCAGCAAGUAUAAGUUCUAAGCGUAGCAGUAAAACAUUUCGCUUUUGCAUUUAUAUUUUGUUAAACCGAAAUAAAGUAUAUUUACAGUUUGACCUCGGAUCAGGCAGGGAUACCCGCUGAACUUAA